Molecule: non-coding RNA, 74 nt
Organism: Macrostomum lignano
Lineage: Eukaryota; Metazoa; Platyhelminthes; Macrostomidae
Source: Rfam
GGGGUUGUAGCUUAGUGGUCAGAGCGUCGGACUCACGACUUGAAGGUCGCGGGUUCGAUUCUUGACUCACUCGA